CCUACGGGAGGCUGCAGUGAGGAAUAUUGGUCAAUGGACGAGAGUCUGAACCAGCCAAGCCGCGUGAAGGAUGACUGCCCUAUGGGUUGUAAACUUCUUUUAUCAAGGAAUAAAACGAGGCACGUGUGCCUUUUUGCAUGUACUUUAUGAAUAAGGAUCGGCUAACUCCGUGCCAGCAGCCGCGGUAAUACGGAGGAUCCGAGCGUUAUCCGGAUUUAUUGGGGUUAAAGGGAGCGUAGAUGGGUUGUUAAGUCAGUUGUGAAAGUUUGCGGCUCAACCGUAAAAUUGCAAUUGAUACUGGCAGUCUUGAGUACAGGUGAGGUAGGCGGAAUGCGUGGUGUAGCGGUGAAAUGCUUAGAUAUCACGAAGAACCCCGAUUGCGAAGGCAGCAUACUAAACUGUGACUGACAUUGAUGCUCGAAAGUGUGGGUAUCAAACAGGAUUAGAUACCCCUGUAGUC
Molecule: ribosomal RNA, 460 nt
Filed under: uncultured bacterium
Lineage: Bacteria
Description: partial 16S ribosomal RNA
Rfam family: Bacterial small subunit ribosomal RNA
Source: RNAcentral